AUAUAUUUAACUAUUUAGUGUAAUAUAUAUAUUUAAAUAGCCUUUUAGUUGUAUCAACAUUGCAUGUAAUCAGUACCUGACUGUCAAAUCAAAUUAAUUCAGUAAAAUUCAAAAACAUUUUGACAAAAUUUAUUGUCGCGUGACAUAGAACUUCGGCCAGCUGGCUGACAGUAACAUUAUUUUUAGAAGUUCAUCAAUUAUUAUUUUAAAUCUAGGAGCUUGCAUCACCCCUAUGUGCAAUAUUUAACGUGACUGAAAUGUGACUUUGAUAAAAUCAAAGAUGUGACUGAGCUCGGCUUUUACGUCACCUUUCUGACUUCUGCAUAAGCUGCUCUCUCACACUUGCCCCAGGUUCCCUGAUCAGGCAGUUGUGUCUGCCCUGGGCUGGGCUCAGAUCUGGCCUAACCUCAUUUAAGCAGCACAGUGAGCAAAACUUGCUGCUUGGCUGUCAUCACUGCUUUAGAAUUAUGGGGUGCAGACACUUCCUGUUAUGAGGUUUUUUUAUAGGCUUUGGUGAUGCCCUGUAUCUCUGUAUCUGGGUAAAGAUCUGUUUCCUCUUGUCUGUUAAUUGAAAGCUGCAGUAUAUUGGCUUGGUGGUGUGCGUGGCAUGCAGUUCAUGGGCCUUGUGGACUGAUAUUUUGUCAUGGUGAUUCUGGUUAGCCAGUUUCUGAGUUGGGGAUUCAUGGUCUCAGCAUCCCACAGCUGGUGUGCAGUGCUGCUGGUGCCCUGUCUUUGUGGGUUCUUAGAAUUGGGUUUUGUGAUUUUGCUCCUUUUAGGUUCCCAAGUCCCUAGUUUGGGUUCUCCAGUCUUCUGCAAAUGGGUCUGCCUUCUGCUACAUCUCAUCCUGGAGGCUGUCCAUCCAGUCGGCGGCCCAAGUCCUCCUGGUCUCUUGCUGACAGCAGUGUUGGGACUGUUGGUCUCGGGACAGAAGACCGGGCUUGAUGGAUGGGCAGCCCGGAUUGAAUUCUUCUGUCACAGACCAGGCUGUGUGAAAGCUAAUGCUUUUCACUUGAAAGCCACUGCAUCAUGCUCAGUGUAGGGGGGAGGCCUAGACUCACAGCAUAGGGCAGAGCUUUUCAAAUCUGGCCCUCGAAUCCAAAUCCAGGCCUAGUUUUCAAUUCCCGCAUGUUUAAUAAUUAUUGAUUCUGACUGGCCACAGACGCUUCACACCAGGCUCACGGGUAAAGGAAGGCUGGGAAAUGAAAAGUACUCGGCCCUUGAGGACCUUGACUUCAAUAGCCCUGGCGUAGGUUACACUGUGGAAAGGAUGGAACAACUAUAGGCUAUUGUCAAUAAACCAUUUGAUGGACUAAAGGUUACACAGUAUCAGGAAUAAUUAACAUGUUUACACAAAAGCUUAAAAUGCUAGACCCCUACUUUUUUGGUGACCAAAGCAUUUGGGUUUGGGGGGGUAUCUUUAACUACUGAAAGACUUAUAAUGAAAUUGUGCCCCUAUAUUGCCUCAGUGAUAACUUGAGGCAGAACCUUUGCAGCUUCUGACUCAUAGAAGAUAAGAUAUUGUUCUCCCUCUCAUACUCAUUGCUCUGGAUCAGAUAUCGCACUGUAUGCGCAUUUUAUAAGAGUAAUGCAGCAUGGUUACUCAGUAAUAAUUUGAAAUUAUAAAGGGCACAAACAAAUGAACUGGAAACAAAGUCCUUAUAACAGCUAAAGGGCACUGAGUAUACCGGCACAACCAAUGCGUCUACUGCAGUGCCAAAAGAAGCUUAAAAAUGUCACCCAAAACAGGAAAAGUUUCACUUCCUGUGACAAAGAUGAAGUGAAAAUUGGGGCACAUAUAAUGAACAGCAUACAGUGUUUUAGUGUAGUUAACAACUCAGCUCCAGCUUAUCAUAUUUGCAAAAUAAAAUGAUAAAGGUGAGGAUCUUUCUUUACUUUUUUUUCAUUGACAAGCAGUCUCACUAGAUACUUUUAACUUAAAUUAAUAACACCUCUGCAAUAGGUGUUACUAAUUUUUUUUCCCGGUAGCUGUGUUCCUCAGGUAGAAUGCAGUGUUCAGUAGCGUUUGACAGGGAUUUGACAUGUUGAGAUCCCAUGAGGAAAUACUGUCACAUUCACGAACGAUUUCACCUUUUGGGAGGAGGAGAAUAAAACAAGAAAAAUACAGAACAUUGCAUCACAUGCCCCAGAGACAUCUACAAGACAGAGCUUGCUUCUGAUGUAAACGUGUGGUCUUAUGUGUAUCCAAACGUGACAGACCAGGAAGUGAAGCAAUCUCAAACACUUAUGAAAACAUGGGGAAAACUGCAACCCAUAUUGGCUCAACAGCAUUUUAUUCUUCAAGGCGGGAUGAGUCCCGUAAUGUCAGGGACGGGUGACAAUUCUUCAGUCAGUGGAUUCCGAGCUAAAGGUGCGAGAGGAAACAGAAGCAGGAAUGGGAGCCUCCAGAUAAGGACUCUCUGACAACACUGCACUUCCUGAUCAGCACCGAUGGGCUGGCUAUCCG
Molecule: long non-coding RNA, 2464 nt
Organism: Paramormyrops kingsleyae
Lineage: Eukaryota; Metazoa; Chordata; Actinopteri; Osteoglossiformes; Mormyridae
Source: RefSeq, a predicted model, not a curated record